Astyanax mexicanus (Mexican tetra) is the source of this 72-nucleotide non-coding RNA. Lineage: Eukaryota; Metazoa; Chordata; Actinopteri; Characiformes; Acestrorhamphidae. The record is from Rfam.
GGCUCGUUGGUCUAGGAGUAUGUUUCUCGCUUAGGGUGCGAGAGGUCCUGGGUACAAAUCCCGGACGAGCCC